Vespa crabro (European hornet) is the source of this 3736-nucleotide RNA transcript. It is a transcript of the gene named pyruvate dehydrogenase E1 component subunit beta, mitochondrial-like, with no coding region annotated. Lineage: Eukaryota; Metazoa; Arthropoda; Insecta; Hymenoptera; Vespidae. The transcript is spliced from 4 exons. The record is from RefSeq and is a predicted model, not a curated record.
AAGCCAGAAAGGCGUCGUUUUAGCGUAAAUCUUAGACAUAUGAGUAUAAUCUUGGAUACGAGAGAACGAAGAUUUUAUAGAAACGUGCACAGCACAAGUAGUUAAUUCUCCACGUACUUAUUAAUUCUACAUAUUAGUUUGAUUAAAGUGAAAAUAUUUAUGUAUAUUACAUAAAUGUAUAAAUGAUUAUCAAUGAUUAUUUGUAUCAAAGGUUUUGGACAAGUCGAGAACAUUUAAUAAUCACAUCUAUGGCUACUGAUAUUUGUUUACUUCCUUUAUCAGACAACUGAUGGUGAACUGCAACUAAAUACAAUUUUAUUAGCCUGAAAUAGACAAAAAUUUUAUAAAGACUAUAAGAACAUAUUUCACAUACUAUAUAAUAUGAUAGGAUAAUUUUAAUAAUUUAAUAAUUUGAAAAUUUGCUUAUUCUACUUACAUUGGGAUGCAAUUGUUCAAUUGAUUGAAACAAUUAAGGAAAUUUUAGUUUUUCAAAAUGUGUGAUUGCCAUCAAACUAGUAAAGAGAGACUUGUUAUAUAUUCUUUGAAAGUGAUGUUCUCAUAUAUGUGUAAAUCUCUGUAUGUUAAGAGCCAUUAAAUCUUUUCUUGAUAAUUCAAGAGAUAUCCAAAUAAAUUACCUCGUAAAUCUUCUAUCACCUUAUGAUCUUCUUUUUCACUUAAUUGGAUAGCCAUUCCUAUUAUUAAUUUAUCUAUAUUUAACUUAUCAUCUAAUUUGAAUUGGUUUUGGAAUAAACCAUUCUAGAAAAAAAUUUUAAUAUAAAAACAUAUUUCUAAUCAAAAUUGCUUUUUUAUAAUAAUACUUGUGACAUCCAAUAAUUGUUGCAUGUUCUAAUAGUUAGUGCAUUAAGUUCUAAUUUACAAUUAUUUCUUGUAUAAUCUCGUAAAUAAACAUCCAUUUUGAUGCAAAUGUGUAAUUAAUACAGUUUAUAUGUUUAAUGUAUGGAUAAUACAUGUAAUUAAUUGUACCUUUUUUUCGUUCUUUUAAUAUAUAAUUGUAUAAGAAUCUCUUAGUUAUAUGUGCACAUAAAAAGAUAUAUUCAUAAAAUUAAAUAUCAUAAUUUAUCUUUUUAAGUAGAAUUUCAAUUUUUUUUUGAGUAGGCCAUGAAUGAAAUAUUUUAAUAUUUUUUUGUUGAAUAUUAGUCAGUUAUUAUAUUUUGGAAUUCUUUUUAUAGUUAAUAUAUACAGUUUUUUGAACCUAUCAACUAAUACUAAAGUGUGACUAUAACGAAAGGUAGCUGUUUGAAAAAACUUAUCUAUUUUUGGAUCAAUAUUAGAAUUAUAACCUAUAAUAAAUAUAUAAUAAUGUUUUAGAAAGAUUUUAGCCUUAUAUUUCUAAAUAUAUACGGUAAUUAUUUUGUUUUUGUAGUAUAUACUUUUGUAUUAUUAUCUAACACUAAUUCUUAGUAUUUUUAUUCCUAUUGUAUUCUGAAAGCUUUUCACCUAUCCACUCGGAUAACCAUUCAUUGGUAAUUAUAUGCUGUUGUGUUGCAAUUAUCUAUUUACGAAUUUCAUUGUAAAUUUUUUCAAUGUUCACUUUUUAUGUUUACUUCUUAUAAAGCUGGCUAUGUGAUUGUGUCAUAUAAAGCAAAUUAUUUCAAAUGUCAAAAGAAACGGAUUUUCAUUCCCCCUUGGAUUUCCUAAUUCUGGAAUAAAGAUUUAUGCAUAUAAAUUAUUAAAUAUUUCUACAAUGAUAACCAUUUAUUUUUUGAGACGAUCAUUACUAUCAGUGACAUCAUAUUUCUUAAAAAAAGGAUCUUCUAGAUCUGUUACUAAAAUGACUGUAAGAGAUGCGUUGAAUUUGGCUCUUGAUGAAGAAUUAGCACGAGAUGAAAAAGUAUUUAUUAUCGGAGAAGAAGUUGCACAAUUUGAUGGAGCAUAUAAAAUAACUAGAGGGCUUUGGAAAAAGUAUGGAGAUAAGAGAUUGAUUGAUACACCAAUAUCUGAGGCAGGUUUCUGUGGUAUAGCUGUUGGAGCUGCAAUAGCAGGAUUAAGACCAAUUUGUGAAUUUAUGACAUUCAAUUUUUCAAUGCAAGCUAUCGAUCGAAUAAUAAAUGCAGCUGCUAAAAAUUGUUAUAUGACUUCAGGAAGAUAUCCUGUAUCUAUAGUAUUUCGUGGUCCAAAUGGUAAUGCUAAAGGAUUGGGAGCUCAACAUUCACAGUGUUUUGCAGCUUGGUAUAUGAGUACUCCUGGCUUAAAAGUUAUGUCUCCUACAAGUUGUGAAGAUUAUAGAGGUAGUUUAAAAGCUGCUGUAAGGGAUCCUGAUCCUGUCUUAAUCUUGGAAAGUGAACUUCUUUAUAAUUUUGAAUUUCCUCUAUCGGAUGAAGCUAUGGACAAAGAUUUUGUUAUACCUAUUGGUAAAGCAAAAAUUGAAAAAUCUGGGAAACAUAUUACAUUAAUUACUCAUGGUCAAGCAACAGUAUAUACUAUACAAGCAGCCGAAAUUUUAGCAGGGCAGGGAAUUGAUGCUGAAGUCAUUAAUCUACGUUCUCUCAGACCUCUUGAUUGGGAGAUGAUUUUUAAAUCAAUCAGUAAAACACACAAAUUAAUGACAGUUGAAUUAGGUUGGCCUAGGUGUGGAGUAGGUUCAGAAAUUGUUGCAACUAUAAUGGAAAAUCCUGUCUUCUUUGAACUAGAUGCACCAGCAAUUCGUUGUACUGGAAUUGACGUUCCAAUGCCUUAUUCAGAAUCAAUUGAAUAUGAAUGUACCCCAAAAGAUCAUCAUAUAGCUGAAAUUGCUAAGAAAGUUUGUGGAAUGAAAAUUUGAGUAUUUUCAUAAUAUGUAAAGUUAUACUUAUUAAAGUAUCUAUCAAUUUUCUUUGUACAAUGUUGAGAAAUAUAUUUAUCAUGAUUGAUUGGAAGUGGUUUGAUUGUUAUUGGUAAUCUAAUUAUGUUAUUUUCUGGAUAUUUAUAUGAACUUGAUGAUGCAAGCAAACCAUUUUUAUCAAUAGUUCCAUUAGAAUAUAUUCUUAAAAUAUUAAAUCAUGCCUUAGAAGUAUCAAAUUAAUCUUCCAUCAAUAUAUUGUUAUUUCAUUGAGCUAUGGAAUAAUAGAAUAUUGUAUAAAUACAAUAACAUUUAAAAAAUUAUCUAUCAGUAUUAUAAUUGUUUAUUGUUUUAAAAAAAGUUUGAAAUAAUUAAACCUGUUGAUAUAGAUUAUUUGGAGGAUUUCCUGUAGAUUCAUCAUAACGUGUACGAAGUACACAUUAUGAUUAAGAUCCAAUUACUUAAUAAUUCCUUACUUAUUUUCAAUGGAUUUGGUCUGUUAAAGUCAGAAGGUUUAUAUACUUCAUCUUUAGAAGUGGCGGAAUAUCUUUUUAAAAGAGGUGUGUUAACUGCACCAAUUUCUGGCUGACCAAUAUUAUUAUACUAGUGAUCGUAUCCUACAUACUUAGUUGAACCUAGAUUGUGAUAAAUGAAUUUACAUUUAUAAUCAUUUAAUUUCCAAUAUCCAUUUUAUAAAAUCCAUAAAAGCAACUGGGACAUUAGACAAAGAACGAUUUACGUAUAUUAUGUAUUUUAAUUCUUUUUGAAUAUGAUAAAAGAAAGCAGGAAACCAUAAAAUAUUAAUAAAAUCUAGUAUAUAUUUUUUGGUGUACAGUUUAAAUAUUUAGGAGAUCAUGAAAUUUGAAUAUAAUGUAAAUUUAGAAUAAAACUUUCUAAAUAUUAUAUGUGUGAACAUGUAAAAUAUUUAAUACUAAUCUAAGCUAUAUGACCAUUAUA